GGGCAUGGUGGCACAUGUCUAUAAUCCCAAUUACUUGGAAGGCUGAGGCAGGAGAAUUGCUAUAGCCUAGGAGUUCAAGGUUAGCUUGGGCAACAUGGCAAGACCCCAUCUUAA
Molecule: small RNA, 114 nt
Filed under: Marmota monax (woodchuck)
Lineage: Eukaryota; Metazoa; Chordata; Mammalia; Rodentia; Sciuridae
Source: RNAcentral